GUUGUUGUGGCCGAGUCGUUAAGGCGGUGGACUAGACAUCCGUUGGGGUCUCCCCACGCAGGUUCGAACCCUGCUGACAACG
This is a non-coding RNA of Nerophis ophidion (straightnose pipefish), 82 nucleotides long. The record is from the annotation of a RefSeq genome assembly. NCBI's taxonomy places the organism in Eukaryota, Metazoa, Chordata, Actinopteri, Syngnathiformes, Syngnathidae.